GCCGACGUGGUGGAAUUGGUAGACACGCUAUCUUGAGGGGGUAGUGGCGAAAGCUAUGCGAGUUCGAUUCUCGCCGUCGGCA
Molecule: transfer RNA, 82 nt
Filed under: Paenalcaligenes hominis
Lineage: Bacteria; Pseudomonadati; Pseudomonadota; Betaproteobacteria; Burkholderiales; Alcaligenaceae
Rfam family: tRNA
About the family: Transfer RNA (tRNA) molecules are approximately 80 nucleotides in length.
Source: Rfam by way of RNAcentral